GACGAACCAUGCAAACGUUAUUCGGAAUUACUGGGCUUAAAGCGUGCGUAGGCGGCUCAGAAAGUUGGGUGUGAAAGCCCUCGGCUCAACCGAGGAAUUGCGCCCAAAACUACUGGGCUUGAGGGAGUUAGAGGUGAGCGGAACUCACGGUGGAGCGGUGAAAUGCGUUGAUAUCGUGAGGAACACCGGAGGCGAAAGCGGCUCACUGGGGCUUCACUGACGCUGAGGCACGAAAGCUAGGGGAGCAAACGGG
Molecule: ribosomal RNA, 253 nt
Filed under: uncultured bacterium
Lineage: Bacteria
Description: partial 16S ribosomal RNA
Rfam family: Bacterial small subunit ribosomal RNA
Source: RNAcentral